GACGAACGCUGGCGGCGUGCCUAAUACAUGCAAGUUGAGCGCUGAAGGUUGGUACUUGUACCAACUGGAUGAGCAGCGAACGGGUGAGUAACGCGUGGGGAAUCUGCCUUUGAGCGGGGGACAACAUUUGGAAACGAAUGCUAAUACCGCAUAAAAACUUUAAACACAAGUUUUAAGUUUGAAAGAUGCAAUUGCAUCACUCAAAGAUGAUCCCGCGUUGUAUUAGCUAGUUGGUGAGGUAAAGGCUCACCAAGGCGAUGAUACAUAGCCGACCUGAGAGGGUGAUCGGCCACAUUGGGACUGAGACACGGCCCAAACUCCUACGGGAAGCAGCAGUAGGGAAUCUUCGGCAAUGGACGAAAGUCUGACCGAGCAAAGCCGCGUGAGUGAAGAAGGUUUUCGGAUCGUAAAACUCUGUUGGUAGAGAAGAACGUUGGUGAGAGUGGAAAGCUCAUCAAGUGACGGUAACUACCCAGAAAGGGACGGCUAACUACGUG
RNAcentral lists this ribosomal RNA (497 nucleotides) under uncultured bacterium. Its description in RNAcentral is "partial 16S ribosomal RNA". It matches the Rfam family "Bacterial small subunit ribosomal RNA", at positions 28 to 507 of the family's 1533-position model. The record is from RNAcentral.